Molecule: ribosomal RNA, 253 nt
Filed under: uncultured bacterium
Lineage: Bacteria
Description: partial 16S ribosomal RNA
Rfam family: Bacterial small subunit ribosomal RNA
Source: RNAcentral
UACAGAGACUGCAAGCGUUAUUCGGAUUCACUGGGCGUAAAGGGUGCGCAGGCGGACUUAUAAGUCAGAGGUGAAAUCUCACUGCUCAACAGUGAAACUGCCUUUGAUACUGUAGGUCUUGAAUUAGGGAGAGAUUCGUGGAAUUCCGAGUGUAGCAGUGAAAUGUGUAGAUAUUCGGAAGAACACCAGAGGCGAAGGCAGCGAAUUGGCCCUAUAUUGACGCUCAGGCACGAAAGCAUGGGGAUCAAACAGG